RNAcentral lists this ribosomal RNA (305 nucleotides) under uncultured bacterium. RNAcentral describes it as "bacterial SSU rRNA". It matches the Rfam family "Bacterial small subunit ribosomal RNA", at positions 333 to 655 of the family's 1533-position model. The record is from RNAcentral.
AUAGUCCUACGGGGCGCAGCAGUGGGGGAUAUUGCACAAUGGGGGAAACCCUGAUGCAGCGACGCCGCGUGAGUGAAGAAGUAUUUCGGUAUGUAAAGCUCUAUCAGCAGGGAAGAAAAUGACAGUACCUGACCAAGAAGCCCCGGCUAACUACGUGCCAGCAGCCGCGGUAAUACGUAGGUGGCAAGCGUUGUCCGGAAUUACUGGGUGUAAAGGGAGCGCAGGCGGGAAGCCAAGUCAGCUGUGAAAACUACGGGCUUAACUUGUAGACUGCAGUUGAAACUGGUUUUCUUGAGUGAAGUAGA